CGAUUUAAACCUCUCUGAAAGACCUGAGCACCUGUUCCUUGGCACGAGCUGAGGACCAGACUAUUGCCCUACCACAGCUGAGGGCUGCCAUCUGGAACAGGGAUCAGUGCACCCUUUCCUGAAAACUCUUCAGCUGUACAUCACUACUGCUCACCUCUGUCCUAGAGGUCUGGAAGCAGCUGUAGAUACUCCACGCAGGAAUGAGCAUGGCCAGGUUCUAACAAAACUUUAAGGACACAAAAAUUAAUUUCAUGUAUUUUUAGCUUGUCAUAAAAUAUUUUUAUUUUUUAAAAUGUGUGUUUAUGGGUAUAAGAAUCUAGCAACCAUUCAUAUUUGUCCUUGGGGCUGUAGUUUCCCUAGCUGAUUUUCAACUGAUUCUGAGAUGACAUCCAAUGUCUCUUGGUGUUUCCACAGCAAGUGUUCAGCCAAUACUAAACAGCAGUGCCCUGUAACAUGGUCAGCAAGGUGGGUUGUGACUGUUCUACUGUAUGCUACCUGUUUGCAGAGAGUUGAUUCUCCUGCAUUUCUGGGCUGGAGGAGGAACUACUGUUGAGGGAACAUUGGUUUCAUGCUGCAUAAAUACAUACACACUGAGGCUCAAACUCAGGGUGUUGCUCACACUAACACCGUCACUGAGCUUCUUCUCCAGCCUUGGGUCUACAUCUUUACAGAAACAGUUCCUUGGCCAUGCAGUCCUAGGGUACGGAAGUGUUCUGACUUUAUGUCCUGGAGUUGAGAGGCCUUCAAGGGUGGCACUGGCUGUGCCUGGCCUGGAAAAAUUAUUCGCAGACUCCACAGUGGAAGGAAAGAUACUUGUGAGCAGUGGGAAUGCACUGAGGAGUAGUCAGGCUUUUGGCUGAAGCUGCUUAGCUGUGUGACCUCGCAAUGGAAGAAGAGGAGCCUGGCUUGUCUCCCGCUUAACAACCCCCUUCCAUUUGUUAGGUUAAGGACUGGACCCUGAGCCUCAUGGAUGCUAGGAUGUGGUGUACUCCCCAGCCCUCUCUUAACCGUUUCUGUGGAUCUUGUACCUCCUUCCUUCUCCUAAUUGGUUUACACAGAAAUGCAUAUAAGAUUUUUUCCCCAAUAAGUUUUUCCAUUACUAACUUUAAAGUGGGUAUAGGCAACUGUAUCCUUCCUCAGACACGCUUCUAUAUAAAUAAAAG
RNAcentral lists this long non-coding RNA (1163 nucleotides) under Chinchilla lanigera (long-tailed chinchilla). Its description in RNAcentral is "lncRNA (ENSCLAG00000023839.1)". Lineage: Eukaryota; Metazoa; Chordata; Mammalia; Rodentia; Chinchillidae. The record is from RNAcentral.